AACCAUUAUCGGUCCUCACAAUACGGUGCAUGAGGGUCGAAUUUAUUAGUUGAAGCUAUUUUGUGAAAAAGGUAAUGGC
Molecule: long non-coding RNA, 79 nt
Organism: Juglans regia (Persian walnut)
Lineage: Eukaryota; Viridiplantae; Streptophyta; Magnoliopsida; Fagales; Juglandaceae
Exons: 3
Source: RefSeq, a predicted model, not a curated record